CAAAUUAAAGCUUUAUAAAGUAUUUCAUUUACAUUGAAAAGAAAUUAUUAAUUUAAUUAAUUUGA
Molecule: transfer RNA, 65 nt
Filed under: Tagiades tethys
Lineage: Eukaryota; Metazoa; Arthropoda; Insecta; Lepidoptera; Hesperiidae
Also listed under: 1 other name
Description: Daimio tethys tRNA-Val
Source: RNAcentral